This 927-nucleotide ribosomal RNA is filed under the name uncultured bacterium. RNAcentral's name for it is "bacterial SSU rRNA". It matches the Rfam family "Bacterial small subunit ribosomal RNA", at positions 8 to 916 of the family's 1533-position model. The record is from RNAcentral.
AGAGUUUGAUCCUGGCUCAGAACGAACGCUGGCGGCGUGCCUAACACAUGCAAGUCGAGCGCGAAAAGGGCAACCUGAGUAGAGCGGCGCACGGGUGCGUAACACGUGGGUAAUCUGCCCUCGAGUCUGGGAUAACCUUCCGAAAGGUUGGCUAAUACCAAAUAAGCCUACGGAGACCUUGGUCUCUGAAGGAAAAGUGGACCUCUAUUUAUAAGUUCACACUCGAGGAUGAGCCCGCGGCCCAUCAGUUAGUUGGCGGGGUAACGGCCCACCAAGACUACGACGGGUAGCUGGUCUGAGAGGACGAUCAGCCACACUGGAACUGAGACACGGUCCAGACUCCUACGGGAGGCAGCAGUGGGGAAUUUUCCACAAUGGGCGAAAGCCUGAUGGAGCAACGCCGCGUGUGUGAUGAAGGUCUUCGGAUUGUAAAGCACUUUCGACCGGGACGAAUAACCCCUGGCUAACAUCCAGGGGCUUGACGGUACCGGGAGAAGAAGCACCGGCUAACUCUGUGCCAGCAGCCGCGGUAAUACAGAGGGUGCAAGCGUUGUUCGGAAUUAUUGGGCGUAAAGCGCGUGUAGGCGGCUUGAAAAGUCAGAUGUGAAAUCCCUCGGCUUAACCGAGGAAGUGCGUCUGAAACUCUCGAGCUUGAGUGCCGGAGAGGGUGGCGGAAUUCCGCAAGUAGAGGUGAAAUUCGUAGAUAUGCGGAGGAACACCGGUGGCGAAGGCGGCCACCUGGACGGCAACUGACGCUGAGACGCGAAAGCGUGGGGAGCAAACAGGAUUAGAUACCCUGGUAGUCCACGCCGUAAACGAUGAGAACUAGGUGUCGUGGGUGUUGACCCCCGCGGUGCCGCAGCUAACGCAUUAAGUUCUCCGCCUGGGAAGUACGGCUGCAAGGUUAAAACUCAAAGGAAUUGACGG